AUUGAACGCUGGCGGCAGGCCUAACACAUGCAAGUCGAACGGUAACAGGAAGAAGCUUGCCUCUUUGCUGACGAGUGGCGGACGGGUGAGCAAUGUCGGGGAAACUGCCUGAUGGAGGGGGAUAACUAGUGGAAACGGUAGCAAAUACCGCAUAAAGUCGCAAGACCAAAGAGGGGGAGCUUCGGGCGUCUUGCCAUCGGAUGUGCCCGGAUGGGAUUAGCUAGUAGGUGGGGUAACGGCUCACCUAGGCGACGAUCCCUAGCUGGUCGGAGAGGAUGAGCAGCCACACUGGAACUGAGACACGGUCCAGACUCCUACGGGAGGCAGCAGUGGGGAAUCUUCCGCAAUGGGCGCAAGCCUGAUGCAGCCAUGCCGCGUGUGUGAAGAAGGCCUUCGGGUUGUAAAGUACUUUCAUCGGGGAGGAAGAAAUUUAUGUUAAUCCCUUUACGCAUUGACGUUACCCACUGAAGAAGCACCGGCUAACUCCGUG
This 490-nucleotide ribosomal RNA is filed under the name uncultured bacterium. RNAcentral describes it as "partial 16S ribosomal RNA". It matches the Rfam family "Bacterial small subunit ribosomal RNA", at positions 30 to 507 of the family's 1533-position model. The record is from RNAcentral.